RNAcentral lists this long non-coding RNA (328 nucleotides) under Gossypium barbadense (sea-island cotton). Its description in RNAcentral is "long non-coding RNA (GBAR_LNC011324)". Lineage: Eukaryota; Viridiplantae; Streptophyta; Magnoliopsida; Malvales; Malvaceae. The record is from RNAcentral.
CGACUAGGCCCUAUUUCGGGAUGUUACAUUUCUAGAAUCGCUCAUUCUCUUUAGCUUCUCCCUAUUGAUAUUCCCUCACCUUUUUACCAUAGAAAAGAGCUUGCAUGGGAAACUAUGUCGUUGAGUUAAAAGUAAACUACUAAAAUAACCUCUAUUUAAUUCUCUUUCAUUGGAAAAAUAUUGAUAUUUAGUUCUCCCUACUAGACAUCAAAACAUGGGUGCCCCAAUUGUCAAAGAAUGGCAAGAACCCAAAGUAGAAACAAGGGACUAUAAAAUGUAAAAAAGCAAGAGCAAGAAAAAACAAAGGAUGAAAAAUUAUACUUUUCUC